RNAcentral lists this transfer RNA (66 nucleotides) under Calophya schini. Its description in RNAcentral is "tRNA-Tyr". Lineage: Eukaryota; Metazoa; Arthropoda; Insecta; Hemiptera; Calophyidae. The record is from RNAcentral.
ACAAGGUGGCCGAGCUUGAGGCAUUGAACUGUAAAUUCUUUCACAAAUCUAAUAUUUUCUUGUUAA